This 261-nucleotide ribosomal RNA is filed under the name uncultured bacterium. RNAcentral describes it as "partial small subunit ribosomal RNA". It matches the Rfam family "Bacterial small subunit ribosomal RNA", at positions 26 to 285 of the family's 1533-position model. The record is from RNAcentral.
AGGAUGAACGCUGGCGGCGUGCUUAACACAUGCAAGUCGAACGGUGAAAGAGGAGCUUGCUCCUCUGGAUCAGUGGCGAACGGGUGAGUAACACGUGAGUAACCUGCCCUUGACUCUGGGAUAAGCACUGGAAACGGUGUCUAAUACCGGAUACGACUUCCGAAGGCAUCUUCUGGAAGUGGAAAGAACUUCGGUCAAGGAUGGACUCGCGGCCUAUCAGCUAGUUGGUGAGGUAAUGGCCCACCAAGGCGACGACGGGUA